GGUCAUCAAGGGGAAACAUCUACAGAUAGUUGUCUCUACAUGUUGUAGAAGGUCAUCAAGGGGAAACAUCUACAGAUAGUUGUCUCUACAUAUUGUAGAAGGUCAUCUACAGAUAGUUGUCUCUACAUGUUGUAGAAGGUCAUCACGGGGAAACAUCUACAGAUAGUUGUCUCUACAUAUUGUAGAAGGUCAUCACGGGGAAACAUCUACAGAUAGUUGUCCCUACAUGUUGUAGAAGGUCAUCAAGGGGAAACAUCUACAGAUAGUUGUCUCUACAUAUUGUAGAAGGUCAUCUACAGAUAGUUGUCUCUACAUGUUGUAGAAGGUCAUCACGGGGAAACAUCUACAGAUAGUUGUCUCUACAUAUUGUAGAAGGUCAUCUACAGAUAGUUGUCUCUACAUAUUGUAGAAGGUCAUCACGGGGAAACAUCUACAGAUAGUUGUCUCUACAUAUUGUAGAAGGUCAUCACGGGGAAACAUCUACAGAUAGUUGUCUCUACAUGUUGUAGAAGGUCAUCAUGGGGAAACAUCUACAGAUAGUUGUCUCUACAUGUUGUAGAAGGUCAUCUACAGAUAGUUGUCUCUACAUAUUGUAGAAGGUCAUCUACAGAUAGUUGUCUCUACAUGUUGUAGAAGGUCAUCACAGGGAAACAUCUACAGAUAGUUGUCUCUACAUAUUGUAGAAGGUCAUCUACAGAUAGUUGUCUCUACAUGUUGUAGGUCAUCACGGGGAAACAUCUACAGAUAGUUGUCCCUACAUGUUGUAGAAGGUCAUCACGGGGAAACAUCUACAGAUAGUUGUCUCUACAUGUUGUAGAAGGUCAUCACAGGGAAACAUCUACAGAUAGUUGUCUCUACAUAUUGUAGAAGGUCAUCUACAGAUAGUUGUCUCUACAUGUUGUAGAAGGUCAUCACGGGGAAACAUCUACAGAUAGUUGUCUCUACAUGUUGUAGAAGGUCAUCACAGGGAAACAUCUACAGAUAGUUGUCUCUACAUGUUGUAGAAGGUCAUCUACAGAUAGUUGUCUCUACAUGUUGUAGAAGGUCAUCACAGGGAAACAUCUACAGAUAGUUGUCUCUACAUAUUGUAGAAGGUCAUCUACAGAUAGUUGUCUCUACAUGUUGUAGGUCAUCACGGGGAAACAUCUACAGAUAGUUGUCCCUACAUGUUGUAGAAGGUCAUCACGG
This is a long non-coding RNA of Haliotis rufescens (red abalone), 1188 nucleotides long. RefSeq lists it as uncharacterized. The record is from RefSeq and is a predicted model, not a curated record. The transcript is spliced from 3 exons. Lineage: Eukaryota; Metazoa; Mollusca; Gastropoda; Lepetellida; Haliotidae.